RNAcentral lists this ribosomal RNA (676 nucleotides) under Suillus brevipes. RNAcentral's name for it is "eukaryotic LSU rRNA". The stretch from base 224 to 378 matches the Rfam family "5.8S ribosomal RNA". The record is from RNAcentral. Lineage: Eukaryota; Fungi; Basidiomycota; Agaricomycetes; Boletales; Suillaceae.
CCUGCGGAAGGAUCAUUAAUGAAAUUAUAAUCCGGCGAGGGAAAGGCGGAGAGUUGUAGCUGGCCCCAGGGCAUGUGCACGCUCUCUUCCGGACUUUCGCCGUAUGGGCGCGGGGCGACCCGCGUCUUCAUAUACCUCUUCGUGUAGAAAGUCUUUGAAUGUUAUUACCAUCAUCGAGUCGCGACUUCUAGGAGACGCGAUUCUUUGAGACAAAAGUUAUUACAACUUUCAGCAACGGAUCUCUUGGCUCUCGCAUCGAUGAAGAACGCAGCGAAUCGCGAUAUGUAAUGUGAAUUGCAGAUCUACAGUGAAUCAUCGAAUCUUUGAACGCACCUUGCGCUCCUCGGUGUUCCGAGGAGCAUGCCUGUUUGAGUGUCAGUAAAUUCUCAACCCCUCUCGAUUUGCUUCGAAAGGGCGCUUGGAUGUUGGGGGCUGCCGGAGACACUGGACUCGUCCAGGACUCGGGCUCCUCUUAAAUGAAUCGGCUUGCGGUCGACUUUCGACUUUGCAUGACAAGGCCUUUGGCGUGAUAAUGAUCGCCGUUCGCCGAAGUGCAAGACAGAACGGUCCCGUGCCUCUAAUGCGUCGACGCCUCUCGGGGCCGUCUUCCUCAUUGACGUUUGACCUCAAAUCAGGUAGGACUACCCGCUGAACUUAAGCAUAUCAAUAAGCCGGC